GUGAGUCAUCGAAUCUUUGAACGCAUAUUGCGCUCUUUGGUAUUCCGAAGAGCAUGCUUGUUUGAGUAUCAGUAAACACCUCAACCUCUCUUUUUUGAUAAAAAAAAGGGAGGGUGGACUUGAGCUAUCCCAACGACCUUCACCGGUAGGCGGGCGGCUUGAAAUGCAGGUGCAGCUGGACUUUUAUCUGAGCUAAAAGCAUAUCUAUUUAGUCCUCGUCAAACAGGAUUAUUACUUUUGCUGCAGCUAACAUAAAGGAUAAUUGUCCUCUUUGCUGACUGAUGCAGGAUUUUACGACAC
RNAcentral lists this unclassified non-coding RNA (300 nucleotides) under uncultured Mortierella. RNAcentral describes it as "sequence contains 5.8S rRNA gene, ITS2". The stretch from base 1 to 71 matches the Rfam family "5.8S ribosomal RNA", at positions 84 to 154 of the family's 154-position model. Lineage: Eukaryota; Fungi; Mortierellomycota; Mortierellomycetes; Mortierellales; Mortierellaceae. The record is from RNAcentral.